This 497-nucleotide ribosomal RNA is filed under the name uncultured bacterium. RNAcentral describes it as "partial 16S ribosomal RNA". It matches the Rfam family "Bacterial small subunit ribosomal RNA", at positions 28 to 507 of the family's 1533-position model. The record is from RNAcentral.
GACGAACGCUGGCGGCGUGCCUAAUACAUGCAAGUUGAGCGAUGAAGAUUGGUGCUUGCACCAAUUUGAAGAGCAGCGAACGGGUGAGUAACGCGUGGGGAAUCUGCCUUUGAGCGGGGGACAACAUUUGGAAACGAAUGCUAAUACCGCAUAAUAACUUUAAACAUAAGUUUUAAGUUUGAAAGAUGCAAUUGCAUCACUCAAAGAUGAUCCCGCGUUGUAUUAGCUAGUUGGUGAGGUAAAGGCUCACCAAGGCGAUGAUACAUAGCCGACCUGAGAGGGUGAUCGGCCACAUUGGGACUGGGACACGGCCCAAACUCCUACGGGGGGCAGCAGUAGGGAAUCUUCGGCAAUGGACGAAAGUCUGGCCGAGCAACGCCGCGUGAGUGAAGAAGGUUUUCGGAUCGUAAAACUCUGUUGGUAGAGAAGAACGUUGGUGAGAGUGGAAAGCUCAUCAAGUGACGGUAACUACCCAGAAAGGGACGGCUAACUACGUG